CAGCCGCCACGGGAAUACAGAGGGUGCAAGCGUUAAUCGGAUUUACUGGGCGUAAAGCGUGCGUAGGCGGCUUUUUAAGUCGGAUGUGAAAUCCCUGAGCUUAACUUAGGAAUUGCAUUCGAUACUGGGAAGCUAGAGUAUGGGAGAGGAUGGUAGAAUUCCAGGUGUAGCGGUGAAAUGCGUAGAGAUCUGGAGGAAUACCGAUGGCGAAGGCAGCCAUCUGGCCUAAUACUGACGCUGAGGUACGAAAGCAUGGGGAGCAAACAGGAUUAGAUACCCCAGUAGUCCCUGUCUCUUAUAC
This 301-nucleotide ribosomal RNA is filed under the name uncultured bacterium. Its description in RNAcentral is "partial 16S ribosomal RNA". It matches the Rfam family "Bacterial small subunit ribosomal RNA", at positions 509 to 807 of the family's 1533-position model. The record is from RNAcentral.